GACGAACGCUGGCGGCGUGCCUAAUACAUGCAAGUAGAACGCUGAAGGAGGAGCUUGCUCUUCUGGAUGAGUUGCGAACGGGUGAGUAACGCGUAGGUAACCUGCCUGGUAGCGGGGGAUAACUAUUGGAAACGAUAGCUAAUACCGCAUAACAGUAGAUAUCGCAUGAUAGCUGCUUGAAAGGUGCAAUUGCACCACUACCAGAUGGACCUGCGUUGUAUUAGCUAGUUGGUGAGGUAACGGCUCACCAAGGCAACGAUACAUAGCCGACCUGAGAGGGUGAUCGGCCACACUGGGACUGAGACACGGCCCAGACUCCUACGGGAGGCAGCAGUAGGGAAUCUUCGGCAAUGGACGGAAGUCUGACCGAGCAACGCCGCGUGAGUGAAGAAGGUUUUCGGAUCGUAAAGCUCUGUUGUAAGAGAAGAACGAGUGUGAGAGUGGAAAGUUCACAGGG
Molecule: ribosomal RNA, 457 nt
Filed under: Streptococcus infantis
Lineage: Bacteria; Bacillati; Bacillota; Bacilli; Lactobacillales; Streptococcaceae
Description: bacterial SSU rRNA
Rfam family: Bacterial small subunit ribosomal RNA
Source: RNAcentral